Cyprinus carpio carpio is the source of this 852-nucleotide long non-coding RNA. The record is from Ensembl. Lineage: Eukaryota; Metazoa; Chordata; Actinopteri; Cypriniformes; Cyprinidae.
CCGCUGGCAGCCAUCUUGCUGGAUCCUGUUAAGAAACCUGAACGCUUGCAGAAGGAGCUUUUAUACCUAUGCUGCAGUGCCUCAUGGGAAAUGGGAGAUCCCAAGUGUGGGAGGAUUUUAUUAUUAUUAUUAAACAACUCUACAAUGCAGAAAUAUUUCUAAAUGGUUCAGUUAUUUGGUUAAUGUAAUUCCUGGUUACUGCCUGGUUAAUGUCAUAACAUUGAAGAGUAUAUUUCAGAAAUCACAGAAACAGUUAUGGCUGUGUGAUAGUCUGUUAAAAAUAUAGACUCCCCCACACUUGGUUUCUCCCAUUUCCCAUGAUGCACCAUAGCACAGGUAUAAAAACUCAUUCUGCAAGUGCUUUGGUUUCUUGACAGGAUCCAGCAAGAUGGCUGCCAGUGGAGUUUUUUGCAGCUGAAGGUGUCGGACGUUAGUCUACAGCUGUGUGUCCCUCUGCUGACCGCUGACGCACUCCUUGGACAGAACACGGGAACAAGUCCUUCUCAUCAGACAAGUGUUUGAGAUAAAGCUGAAUGUGGCUAGCUGGACCGGAUUUGUUCUGAGCAGGGAGGCCCUGACUGUGCUGCUGGAUCUUCUGAGAAGUGCCACAAUCCAGACCCUGGUGUUUCUCUUCUGUCUGCUAAGUGGUACAUCAUACAGAGUGGUCUCCAGAGUGUUUGACAUGUGCCUUGUUCCACUGUCACCGCAUUAUCCUCCGAGUCACUGAGGAUGUGCUGGCCAUUCACCUCCUGAAGACCCCAGAACACAUGGAGGCAGGGCUGCGCUCAAACAGAUGUUGUUUUUCUGAUGUUAAUCUUAAGCUAUGUUGUAAAUGGUUGUAAAAAAAAAAGG